UCCGGUUUGACACCGGCAGUCUCCCUAGAGUGCCCGGCAUAACCCGCUGGUAACUAGGGACGAGGGUUGCGCUCGUUGCGGGACUUAACCAAACAUCUCACGACACGAGCUGACGACGGCCAUGCAACACCUGUCAUUGGGUUCCCGAAGGCACUCUCGACUUUCGUCAAAAUUCCCAAGAAGUCAAGCCUUGGUAAGGUUCUUCGCUUACCAUCGAAUUAAACAACACGCUCCACUGCUUGUGCGGCUCCCCGUCAAUUCCUUUGAGUUUUAGUCUUGCGACCGUACUCCCCAGGCGGAAUACUUAACGCGUUAGCUUCGCUACAUACCGGGUCGAUACGGCAUACAGCUAGUAUUCAUCGUUUACGGCGUGGACUAC
This 379-nucleotide unclassified non-coding RNA is filed under the name uncultured bacterium. RNAcentral's name for it is "contains 16S-23S intergenic spacer region". The record is from RNAcentral.